CAGUCGCCGCGGUAAUACGGAGGGUGCAAGCGUUAAUCGGAAUUACUGGGCGUAAAGCGUGCGUAGGCGGUUCGUUAAGUCUGUUGUGAAAGCCCCGGGCUCAACCUGGGAAUGGCAAUGGAUACUGGCGAGCUAGAGUGUGUCAGAGGAUGGUGGAAUUCCCGGUGUAGCGGUGAAAUGCGUGGAGAUCGGGAGGAACAUCAGUGGCGAAGGCGGCCAUCUGGGACAACACUGACGCUGAGGCACGAAAGCGUGGGGAGCAAACAGGAUUAGAUACCCGUGUAGUCCCUGUCUCUUAUAA
This 301-nucleotide ribosomal RNA is filed under the name uncultured bacterium. RNAcentral's name for it is "partial 16S ribosomal RNA". It matches the Rfam family "Bacterial small subunit ribosomal RNA", at positions 509 to 809 of the family's 1533-position model. The record is from RNAcentral.